CCUACGGGAGGCUGCAGUGAGGAAUAUUGGUCAAUGGCCGUAAGGCUGAACCAGCCAAGUCGCGUGAAGGAAGAAGGAUCUAUGGUUUGUAAACUUCUUUUAUAGGGGAAUAAAGGUAUCCACGUGUGGAUAUUUGCAUGUACCCUAUGAAUAAGCAUCGGCUAACUCCGUGCCAGCAGCCGCGGUAAUACGGAGGAUGCGAGCGUUAUCCGGAUUUAUUGGGUUUAAAGGGUGCGUAGGUUGUUUUUUAAGUCAGCGGUGAAAGUUUGUGGCUCAACCAUAAAAUUGCCGUUGAAACUGGCAGACUUGAGUGUGUUUGAGGUAGGCGGAAUGCGUGGUGUAGCGGUGAAAUGCAUAGAUAUCACGCAGAACUCCGAUUGCGAAGGCAGCUUACUAAGCCAUAACUGACACUGAAGCACGAAAGCGUGGGGAUCAAACAGGAUUAGAUACCCGGGUAGUC
This 460-nucleotide ribosomal RNA is filed under the name uncultured bacterium. Its description in RNAcentral is "partial 16S ribosomal RNA". It matches the Rfam family "Bacterial small subunit ribosomal RNA", at positions 338 to 795 of the family's 1533-position model. The record is from RNAcentral.